AUUGAUGGUGUGUGGAAAUGGUUAGAAUAUGCCCAAUCAGAUGUGCAAAAUGAAGAGGCUGAUGAAGAAAGGGAAGCUGAAAAUCCCGAACCUUCACAAGCCAAUAAGCCUUCAAUGGAGGAUUUCAUGGUUCAAAUUCAAGGGUUCAUGUUGGAUCAAAUCUCUCAACUCAGAACAGAAAUGAAUGAUCAAAAUCAAAGGAUUGGGAGGUUAGAAGAACGUGUUGAACAUGAAAUCACAAUGAUGGGAUCUCUCAUGGCAAGCAAGGGAAAGGACUCUUCAAGUCAACCACCCCCACCUGAGUCGUAGAGCCAAGUUUAAGAGUCUUUGUGUCUAGCC
Molecule: long non-coding RNA, 339 nt
Filed under: Lupinus mutabilis
Lineage: Eukaryota; Viridiplantae; Streptophyta; Magnoliopsida; Fabales; Fabaceae
Description: partial ncRNA
Source: RNAcentral